Molecule: unclassified non-coding RNA, 429 nt
Filed under: Gordonia terrae
Lineage: Bacteria; Bacillati; Actinomycetota; Actinomycetes; Mycobacteriales; Gordoniaceae
Description: 16S-23S ribosomal RNA intergenic spacer region
Source: RNAcentral
AAGGAGCACACACCAACACGUGUUUCAGCAGGCGUUUGUUCUGCGGCGCGUGUGUGUUCGAGGGUGAAACAUCAAACACGCCACACAAGGUGCCGGCCUCAUAUGGGCAGGCGCUGGUGGCGAGCUUUCCGGGCGACCGGCUUGCUGCUCCCAACACACUAUCGGGGUUCUGAGAGAACACACGUUUUCUCUGAGCUGAUCAUUGUGACGUCGUGCUGAGCCACCCUGUGAUGGGGUGUGGAGCGGCGAAGGGGUGAUCGGUGUGUGUUGUUUGAGAAGUGCAUAGUGGAUGCGAGCAUCUUUAUUUCAAAUCAACUUUUUGUUGGUCUGUGAUUUAGCAGAAUUUGUAGUGUGUGAUGUCUACAUUCGGUCCUCGCGGUGCGGCCCUGUUGUGGGGUUGUGGUGUGGGGGUUGUUUGUAGGUGUUGUU